UGAACGCUAGCUACAGGCUUAACACAUGCAAGUCGAGGGGCAGCAUCAUCAAAGCUUGCUUUGAUGGAUGGCGACCGGCGCACGGGUGAGUAACACGUAUCCAACCUGCCGACAACACUGGGAUAGCCUUUCGAAAGAAAGAUUAAUACCGGAUGGCAUAGUUUUCCCGCAUGGGAUAAUUAUUAAAGAAUUUCGGUUGUCGAUGGGGAUGCGUUCCAUUAGGCAGUUGGCGGGGUAACGGCCCACCAAACCAACGAUGGAUAGGGGUUCUGAGAGGAAGGUCCCCCACAUUGGAACUGAGACACGGUCCAAACUCCUACGGGAGGCAGCAGUGAGGAAUAUUGGUCAAUGGACGAGAGUCUGAACCAGCCAAGUAGCGUGAAGGAUGACUGCCCUAUGGGUUGUAAACUUCUUUUAUACGGGAAUAAAGUUAGCCACGUGUGGCUUUUUGUAUGUACCGUAUGAAUAAGGAUCGGCUAACUCCGUGCCAGCAGCCGCGGUAAUACGGAGGAUCCGAGCGUUAUCCGGAUUUAUUGGGUUUAAAGGGAGCGUAGGCGGGUUGUUAAGUCAGUUGUGAAAGUUUGCGGCUCAACUGUAAAAUUGCAGUUGAUACUGGCGACCUUGAGUGCAACAGAGGUAGGCGGAAUUUGUGGUGUAGCGGUGAAAUGCUUAGAUAUCACGAAGAACUCCGAUUGCGAAGGCAGCUUACUGGAUUGUAACUGACGCUGAUGCUCGAAAGUGUGGGUAUCAAACAGGAUUAGAUACCCUGGUAGUCCACACAGUAAACGAUGAAUACUCGCUGUUGGCGAUAUACAGUCAGCGGCCAAGCGAAAGCAUUAAGUAUUCCACCUGGGGAGUACGCCGGCAACGGUGCAACUCAAAUGAAUUGACGGA
This 894-nucleotide ribosomal RNA is filed under the name uncultured Bacteroidota bacterium. RNAcentral describes it as "bacterial SSU rRNA". It matches the Rfam family "Bacterial small subunit ribosomal RNA", at positions 30 to 917 of the family's 1533-position model. The record is from RNAcentral. Lineage: Bacteria; Pseudomonadati; Bacteroidota.